UCUCUCUCUCUCUCUAAAUCUCUCUCUCCGUUUUCGCGGUGCGCCACAAGCGGCUGAAGCUGCCAGCAUGAUCUGAUCUCUCUCUCUCUCUCUCUCUCUCUCUCUCUCUCUCUCUCUCUCCCCCCUCUUAGGGUUAAUAUCAGAUCAUGUUGCAGUUUCAUCUGCUGAUGGAAGCACAAGAAAAACCCUAAUUACUUUAACAAUAUGGUGUAGUUUGCAAGAAGCCCUAGAGAAAGAAACUGGCCAAAAGCGUCACUAUGGAUCCGUGACUAAUUCUGAUUAUCUUCUUGCUCUUAGUUAUAAUUAUUAUCAUGUUGAGGUGAUGAAAGGAAGAGGGGAAGAGAUCAAGAGUGGCUUAUUAGAUUCUGGACUGAAAAGGACAAGGCAUCCUUCAGUGUAAGUUAUUAUUUAUUACCGUAGAUCUCGCAUUAUUUUUGUUGAAUAUAACAAUAAAUAAAUAAAAUACUGUUCUCUGGUAGCUAAAGUUUCUGUAGCAAUUGGUUGUUUCACGAAUUUCACUAGAAAAAUAAAAUUAAACUUUGAUAUUAA
This is a long non-coding RNA of Ananas comosus (pineapple), 549 nucleotides long. RefSeq lists it as uncharacterized. Lineage: Eukaryota; Viridiplantae; Streptophyta; Magnoliopsida; Poales; Bromeliaceae. The record is from RefSeq and is a predicted model, not a curated record. The transcript has 2 exons.